AUUGAACGCUGGCGGCAGGCCUAACCCAUGCACGUCGAACGAGUGGCGGACGGGUGAGUAAUGUCUGGGAAACUGCCUGAUGGAGGGGGAUACCUACUGGAAACGGUAGCUAAUACCGCAUACCAUCGGAUGUGCCCAGAUGGGAUUAGCUCGUAGGUGGGGUAACGGCUCACCUAGGCGACGAUCCCUAGCUGGUCUUAGCGGAUGACCAGCCACACGGGAACUGAGACACGGUCCAGACGCCGACGGGAGGCAGAAGUGGGGAAUAUUGCACAAUGGGCGCAAGCCUGAUGCAGCCAUGCCGCGUGUAUGAAGAAGGCCUUCGGGUUGUAAAGUACUUGCAGCGGGGAGGCGUUACCCGCAGAAGAAGCACCGGCUAACUCCGUGCCAGCCGCCGCGGUAAUUC
Molecule: ribosomal RNA, 406 nt
Filed under: uncultured bacterium
Lineage: Bacteria
Description: partial 16S ribosomal RNA
Rfam family: Bacterial small subunit ribosomal RNA
Source: RNAcentral